This 23-nucleotide non-coding RNA is filed under the name Arabidopsis thaliana (thale cress). Lineage: Eukaryota; Viridiplantae; Streptophyta; Magnoliopsida; Brassicales; Brassicaceae. The record is from RNAcentral.
UAGCUAUACUAGAGCCUUUGCCU